CAGCCGCCGCGGGAAUACAGAGGGUGCGAGCGUUAAUCGGAUUUACUGGGCGUAAAGCGUGUGUAGGUUGUUGUUCAAGUCAGUUGUGAAAUCCCUGGGCUCAACCUGGGAACUGCUUCUGAGACUGAACGACUAGAGUACGGUAGAGGGUGGUGGAAUUUCCGGUGUAGCGGUGAAAUGCGUAGAUAUCGGAAGGAACAUCAAUGGCGAAGGCAGCCACCUGGGCCUGUACUGACACUGAGACACGAAAGCGUGGGGAUCAAACAGGAUUAGAUACCCGUGUAGUCCCUGUCUCUUAUAC
RNAcentral lists this ribosomal RNA (301 nucleotides) under uncultured bacterium. RNAcentral describes it as "partial 16S ribosomal RNA". It matches the Rfam family "Bacterial small subunit ribosomal RNA", at positions 509 to 807 of the family's 1533-position model. The record is from RNAcentral.